This is a long non-coding RNA of Scomber japonicus (chub mackerel), 185 nucleotides long. RefSeq lists it as uncharacterized. Lineage: Eukaryota; Metazoa; Chordata; Actinopteri; Scombriformes; Scombridae. The record is from RefSeq and is a predicted model, not a curated record. The transcript has 3 exons.
AGGCUCCACUUGCUAGUUCAGCAAUUCCUCCCAGUCUUCCACCCAAGGCUCCACUUAAUCUUUCAGCAACUCCUCCCAGACGUCGACCCAUGGAAGAGGAGGCUCCAAUUCAUUAUUCAGCAAUUCUCCCCAGUCUUCCAACCAUGGUUCGUCACUUCAGCACAAACUGCAGAUUUGUUAAAGCU